This 425-nucleotide ribosomal RNA is filed under the name uncultured bacterium. Its description in RNAcentral is "bacterial SSU rRNA". It matches the Rfam family "Bacterial small subunit ribosomal RNA", at positions 359 to 777 of the family's 1533-position model. The record is from RNAcentral.
GAAUUGUUCGCAAUGGGCGCAAGCCUGACGACGCAACGCCGCGUGGAGGAUGAAGGUCUUCGGAUUGUAAACUCCUGUUGCUCGGGACGAAUGGCUCCGACCUAAUACGUCGGAGUGUGACGGUACCGGGUGAGGAAGCCCCGGCCAACGCUGUGCCAGCCGCCGCGGGAAUACAGAGGGGGCAAGCGUUGUUCGGAAUUACUGGGCGUAAAGGGCGCGUAGGCGGCCUGCUAAGUCGAACGUGAAAUCCCUGGGCUCAACCCAGGAACUGCGUCCGAUACUGGUUGGCUUGAAUCCGGGAGAGGGAUGCGGAAUUCCAGGUGUAGCGGUGAAAUGCGUAGAUAUCUGGAGGAACACCGGUGGCGAAGGCGGCAUCCUGGACCGGCAUAGACGCUGAGGCGCGAAAGCCAGGGGAGCAAACGGGA